Molecule: ribosomal RNA, 497 nt
Filed under: uncultured bacterium
Lineage: Bacteria
Description: partial 16S ribosomal RNA
Rfam family: Bacterial small subunit ribosomal RNA
Source: RNAcentral
GAUGAACGCUGGCGGCGUGCCUAAUACAUGCAAGUCGAGCGAACGGACGAGAAGAUUGCUUCUCUGAUGUUAGCGGCGGACGGGUGGGUAACACGUGGAUAACCUACCUAUAAGACUGGGAUAACUUCGGGAAACCGGAGCUAAUACCGGAUAAUAUUUUGAACCGCAUGGUUCAAAAGUGAAAGACGGUCUUGCUGUCACUUAUAGAUGGAUCCGCGCUGCAUUAGCUAGUUGGUAAGGUAACGGCUUACCAAGGCAACGAUGCAUAGCCGACCUGAGAGGGUGAUCGGCCACACUGGAACUGAGACACGGUCCAGACUCCUACGGGAGGCAGCAGUAGGGAAUCUUCCGCAAUGGGCGAAAGCCUGACGGAGCAACGCCGCGUGAGUGAUGAAGGUCUUCGGAUCGUAAAACUCUGUUAUUAGGGAAGAACAUAUGUGUAAGUAACUGUGCACAUCUUGACGGUACCUAAUCAGAAAGCCACGGCUAACUACGUG